AACUACUCCCGGUCUUGGUAUCCGGCCACCACUGCUACCAGAUCUGGCAUUGGUAGCAAACGGAAGCGACACUGCAGCAGCGCAGUGCAAUGGAUGAGCUGGUCUGCCCUGCCUCCUCCAGCAGCUCUCCCUCCUCGGCCUCCUUCUUCUCCACCGCCGGCCACCACCAGGAGCUCGAGUUCAUGCCCUGCGAUGUCCUGGAGGGAUUGCUGGGCGACGAGGACUGGAUAGAUGAGGCCCCAGAUGGCGUCACGCUCGGUUACGAGGGCUCGAGCGCGCGCUCGCCGGGAAACGACCUGCCCGGCGAACCGCCAGCACCUGAGCCAAAGAGGCGUGGCCGGAGACCAGGGCCCCGGUCCGACGCCCCCGUUCUUAGCCACGUGGAGGCGGAGCGGCAGCGGCGGGACAGGCUCAACCGCCGCUUCUGCGAGCUCCGGGCCGCCGUGCCCACCGUGUCCCGGUUUGACAAGGCCUCCCUCCUGUCCGACGCCGCCACCUACAUCACCCAGCUGCGCGACCGUGUCAAGCAGCUCGAGGCUGAGACCCGGCGGGCUGCUAUGACCUCCGCUGCGGCCGCCGCCCCGGCGAUGGCGGCCACCUCCUCGCUCGGCGUCCAGGCGGAGGAGCUGGAGUUGGAGGUGCGCAUGGUCGGCGGGGAGGCGGCGGCGCUGCGCCUGACCACGGCGGUGCGCCACCGCCACGCGCCCGCGCGCUUCAUGCUCGCGCUCCGCUCGCUGGAUCUGCCUGUGCAGCACGCGUGCGUGUGCCUCGUGGGCGGCGCCACCGUGCAGGACGCCGUCGUGGACGUGCCCGCCGGGCUGCGCGACGAGCACGGCCUCCGCGCGGCAUUGCUACACAUGCUGCAGCAGACCGGCUGGUAGCCUCGUGCAUGGGUCGGCAGGUUUGCGCUGAUCUACUCCGAUCCGUCGCCAAAAUCAGGCGUUAUUCAAACGUAUGUACUUAUUGGACAAGAUUCCUGUGAUUGAUGCAAAAUCAGGAGGAUCAAGAAUUUGUGUGCCGAACAUGCCACGCUUAAUUUGAAGAGUACAACAAUGGAGGUCUUUGCCAACCAUAGAUGGAUGUUUAGCAAGAUCAUGCUAAGGGCUCUGAUUCUCUUUCAUUCAGCAUUUUCUUCCCAAGGAACUAUAUGUUUGAUCUUGCUGCAAGUGCAGCUAUUGUAAUAAAGGAACGGCUAAAACAUCUAACGAUGUGGAGAGGCUGGAGCUUUGUUUCCAUUAUCUAAAA
RNA transcript from Setaria italica (foxtail millet), 1245 nucleotides. It is a transcript of the gene named transcription factor bHLH14, with no coding region annotated. NCBI's taxonomy places the organism in Eukaryota, Viridiplantae, Streptophyta, Magnoliopsida, Poales, Poaceae. The transcript has 2 exons. The record is from RefSeq and is a predicted model, not a curated record.